UUGUGAUUCUGUCAAUUCAAAUCGUUGGCUGGCGAAAGAUGUUGUGAAAGCUGUGAAAAAAAGGUUGCAACACAAGAACCCUAAAGUGCAACUGCUGGCUUUAACGCUUUUAGAAACAAUGGUGAAGAACUGUGGUGAUUAUGUCCAUUUCCAAAUUGCUGAAAAGAAUAUAUUGGGAGAGAUGGUCAAAAUUGUAAAAAAGAAGACCAAUAUGCAUGUAAGAGAUAAAAUUCUGGUCUUGUUGGAUUCUUGGCAAGAGGCAUUUGGAGGGCCAAGAGGAAAACAUCCUCAGUACUAUUGGGCA
Molecule: unclassified non-coding RNA, 304 nt
Filed under: Hevea brasiliensis (rubber tree)
Lineage: Eukaryota; Viridiplantae; Streptophyta; Magnoliopsida; Malpighiales; Euphorbiaceae
Source: RNAcentral